GGAGCACUGCAGAAGCUUGAAUGAAUGCACGUUUCAGCAUCCAUGUACCACUAAUGUUCCAGCCUGUAGUUGUCUUGUAUACACAGAACUGUCCAUUUUUUAUAGCUCUAGUAAUAGUGACCUAUAUGAAAGCACCAAAUUUCAUACAACCAGCCUGUGCAGUAGAGGAACUUUAUUCUUUCAUUGAGGAUUGCCGGGUCUUGGCUUCUGUCCUGAAGACGCGUCAUUCACCAGAGAAGUUUGCUGUUUCUGUUUGUUCUUGGUGUCUGCCCACAUAUGUAAAGCCUCGCAUAGGCCUGAGGGAGAGCCACGAGCUCAGAAUGCUGAUGAGAUUCUACAUUUAUCUCCCUGAUGAAGAGCUUGUUUCUCUAGUCUCCUCCUUUCACACAGUACUGCCAUUUCCGUCCUCCUGUACUGCUUGUGCUCAGCCAAGGUACUGGUGAAGAAGCUGACCUGCUGCUGCUAGCUGGACAGAGGGAUAACCCUGCUGCCUGGAUUCAAACAGCGAGUCCAAAGGAAACUGUCUAUCUCUUAUCCUUAUGGGGAGCAGGAAGGGUUUAAUCAUGGAACUCAGCCUUUACUCCCUAUUCUCAUGGACAACCCCUUUUCUGUCCAACAGAAUACAGAGAAGUACUCAAUGCAAGCAGAUUUCUAGCCUAUAAAUGGAAAAUUAAUGAGAACUGUUCAAAUUGCCUUACUGAAACUAACUAAAAAAUGAAAAUAUCUACAAUGCAAGAACCGUAGACUGGUGCUGUACAAAUAUGGUUAUGAAACAAGUCAGGCUAUUCAGGCUCACCCAGCCUCUACUAAUAGACAAGACUGAAAGCGCCAACACAUCAGCUCCAGAGAAAAAGGGCCCAGAGAGGAUCUGACAAGGGCUGGAAGCUGAAGUUUAAGAAAUAAACCUCUAUUUAGA
Passer domesticus (house sparrow) is the source of this 916-nucleotide long non-coding RNA. RefSeq lists it as uncharacterized. NCBI's taxonomy places the organism in Eukaryota, Metazoa, Chordata, Aves, Passeriformes, Passeridae. The record is from RefSeq and is a predicted model, not a curated record. The transcript is spliced from 5 exons.